Molecule: non-coding RNA, 27 nt
Filed under: Rattus norvegicus (Norway rat)
Lineage: Eukaryota; Metazoa; Chordata; Mammalia; Rodentia; Muridae
Source: RNAcentral
UGCAGAAGUGCUGGUUGAAGGACCCCC